AGUGAACGCUGGCGGUAGGCCUAACACAUGCCAGUCGAACGGCAGCACAGUAAGAGCUUGCUCUUACGGGUGGCGAGUGGCGGACGGGUGAGGAAUACAUCGGAAUCUACUUUUUCGUGGGGGAUAACGUAGGGAAACUUACGCUAAUACCGCAUACGACCUACGGGUGAAAGCAGGGGAUCUUCGGACCUUGCGCGAUUGAAUGAGCCGAUGUCGGAUUAGCUAGUUGGCGGGGUAAAGGCCCACCAAGGCGACGAUCCGUAGCUGGUCUGAGAGGAUGAUCAGCCACACUGGAACUGAGACACGGUCCAGACUCCUACGGGAGGCAGCAGUGGGGAAUAUUGGACAAUGGGCGCAAGCCUGAUCCAGCCAUACCGCGUGGGUGAAGAAGGCCUUCGGGUUGUAAAGCCAUUUUGUUGGGAAAGAAAAGCAGCAGGUUAAUACCCCGCUGUUCUGACGGUACCCAAAGAAUAAGCACCGGCUAACUUCGUG
This 492-nucleotide ribosomal RNA is filed under the name uncultured bacterium. RNAcentral describes it as "partial 16S ribosomal RNA". It matches the Rfam family "Bacterial small subunit ribosomal RNA", at positions 29 to 507 of the family's 1533-position model. The record is from RNAcentral.